GGCUUUCCCAUUCCUCCGAAGAGAGUUGGUGCAUGUAAGAAGCAAGGUUCCAAAAAAAAAAAGGGCUGAUGCUGCUUACUGAGAUAAGGGACACCGGCAGGCGUCAAAACCAUAGGGCGGUACAAGAAGAGGACAUUGACAUUGUACAGAUAAGAUAUCAGGCCGACUUCAUUGUCCUUGAACAGAAGAAAUUCCAAAUGUUGAAAGUUGGAUCGGUAACCCUUAAGGAAAAUAUCAAACAGAUCCUGAAAGAAACAACGAGGGAAGAGUGAUGUACUAAGUGUGGCCACGUCAUAACUGAAAUAUGCGCCUGACAGAUGCAGUGCCAGUGGCAGGAAACAGGAGGGGAGGAACCAGGGUGGACAGUAAAUGUGAGAGACACAUAGUUAAAGUUCACAUAGUGGAAUAUUAUAUUUUAUUUUGUUUGUAACAUAAUUUAAGCAAAACAUUAUUUGUUCGAAAUGACGGAAAGAAGUUUUGUUCUAAAUG
Syngnathoides biaculeatus (alligator pipefish) is the source of this 489-nucleotide long non-coding RNA. RefSeq lists it as uncharacterized. NCBI's taxonomy places the organism in Eukaryota, Metazoa, Chordata, Actinopteri, Syngnathiformes, Syngnathidae. The record is from RefSeq and is a predicted model, not a curated record. The transcript has 4 exons.